UACAGAGGCCUCGAGCGUUAGGCGGAAUCACUGGGCUUAAAGCGUGUGUAGGCGGACUUCUAAGUACCUUGUGAAAUCCCACGGCUUACCCGUGGAACUGCUCGGUAUACUGGUUGUCUUGAGCCACCUAGGGGCGAGUGGAACAAAUGGUGGAGCGGUGAAUGACGUAGAUAUCAUUUGGAACGCCAAUGGUGAAAACAACUCGCUGGGGGUGUGCUGACGCUGGAGAACACGAAAGCCCAGGGGAGCGAACGGG
Molecule: ribosomal RNA, 256 nt
Filed under: uncultured bacterium
Lineage: Bacteria
Description: partial 16S ribosomal RNA
Rfam family: Bacterial small subunit ribosomal RNA
Source: RNAcentral